Molecule: ribosomal RNA, 141 nt
Rfam family: Bacterial large subunit ribosomal RNA
GCAUGAAGCCCCCCUCAAGAUGAGAUUUCCCAACUUCGGUUAUAAGAUCCCUCAAAGAUGAUGAGGUUAAUAGGUUCGAGGUGGAAGCAUGGUGACAUGUGGAGCUGACGAAUACUAAUCGAUCGAAGACUUAAUCAAAUU